Molecule: non-coding RNA, 54 nt
Organism: Salmo salar (Atlantic salmon)
Lineage: Eukaryota; Metazoa; Chordata; Actinopteri; Salmoniformes; Salmonidae
Source: Rfam
UGCACUCACUACUGUAAGUCUCUCUGGAUAAGAGAGUCUGUUAAAUGACUCCCU